Molecule: ribosomal RNA, 449 nt
Filed under: uncultured bacterium
Lineage: Bacteria
Description: partial 16S ribosomal RNA
Rfam family: Bacterial small subunit ribosomal RNA
Source: RNAcentral
AACGAACGCUGGCGGCAUGCCUAACACAUGCAAGUCGAGCGAGAUCUUCGGGUCUAGUGGCGCACGGGUGCGUAACGCGUGGGAAUCUGCCCUUUGGUUCGGAAUAACAGUUGGAAACGACUGCUAAUACCGGAUGAUGACGAAAGUCCAAAGAUUUAUCGCCAGAGGAUGAGCCCGCGUAGGAUUAGCUAGUUGGUGUGGUAAAGGCGCACCAAGGCGACGAUCCUUAGCUGGUCUGAGAGGAUGAUCAGCCACACUGGGACUGAGACACGGCCCAGACUCCUACGGGAGGCAGCAGUGGGGAAUAUUGGACAAUGGGCGAAAGCCUGAUCCAGCAAUGCCGCGUGAGAGAUGAAGGCCUUAGGGUUGUAAAGCUCUUUUACCCGGGAUGAUAAUGACAGUACCGGGAGAAUAAGCUCCGGCUAACUCCGUGCCAGCAGCCGCGGUAA